AGUGAACGCUGGCGGUAGGCCUAACACAUGCAAAUCGAACGGCAGCACAGUAGGAGCUUGCUCUUACGGGUGGCGAGUGGCGGACGGGUGAGGAAUACAUCGGAAUCUACUUUUUCGUGGGGGAUAACGUAGGGAAACUUACGCUAAUACCGCAUACGACCUACGGGUGAAAGCAGGGGAUCUUCGGACCUUGCGCGAUUGAAUGAGCCGAUGUCGGAUUAGCUAGUUGGCGGGGUAAAGGCCCACCAAGGCGACGAUCCGUAGCUGGUCUGAGAGGAUGAUCAGCCACACUGGAACUGAGACACGGUCCAGACUCCUACGGGAGGCAGCAGUGGGGAAUAUUGGACAAUGGGCGCAAGCCUGAUCCAGCCAUACCGCGUGGGUGAAGAAGGCCUUCGGGUUGUAAAGCCCUUUUGUUGGGAAAGAAAAGCAGCAGGUUAAUACCCCGCUGUUCUGACGGUACCCAAAGAAUAAGCACCGGCUAACUUCGUG
This 492-nucleotide ribosomal RNA is filed under the name uncultured bacterium. RNAcentral's name for it is "partial 16S ribosomal RNA". It matches the Rfam family "Bacterial small subunit ribosomal RNA", at positions 29 to 507 of the family's 1533-position model. The record is from RNAcentral.